GACGAACGCUGGCGGCGUGCUUAACACAUGCAAGUCGAACGGUGAAGCGCUUGCCUUUUUGGUGGGUGUGGAUGAGUGGCGAACGGGUGAGUAACACGUGAGUAACCUGCCCUCUUCUUCUGGAUAACCUCAUGAAAGUGGGGCUAAUACGGGGUAUUCCGGGUCUGUCGCAUGGCGGGUUUGGGAAAGAUUGCGCCUUUGGGUGUUUUCGGUGGGGGAUGGGCUCGCGGCCUAUCAGCUUGUUGGGGGGGUGAUGGCCUAGCAAGGCGGUGACGGGUGGCCGGCCUGAGAGGGUGGACGGCCACACUGGGACUGAGACACGGCCCAGACUCCUGCGGGAGGCAGCAGUGGGGAAUAUUGCACAAUGGGCGCAAGCCGGAUGCAGCGACGCCGCGUGAGGGAUGGAGGCCUUCGGGUUGUGAACCUCUUUCGCCAGUGAAGCAGGCCUGCUCCUGUGUGGGUGGGUUGACGGUAGCUGGAGAAGAAGCGCCGGCUAACUACGUG
RNAcentral lists this ribosomal RNA (504 nucleotides) under uncultured bacterium. RNAcentral's name for it is "partial 16S ribosomal RNA". It matches the Rfam family "Bacterial small subunit ribosomal RNA", at positions 28 to 507 of the family's 1533-position model. The record is from RNAcentral.